CCAUGUCUUCCUUGCAUUCAAUA
RNAcentral lists this microRNA (23 nucleotides) under Cochliomyia macellaria (secondary screw-worm). RNAcentral's name for it is "mature cma-miR-1-5p". The record is from RNAcentral. RNAcentral also lists the same sequence under 1 other name. Lineage: Eukaryota; Metazoa; Arthropoda; Insecta; Diptera; Calliphoridae.